RNAcentral lists this long non-coding RNA (932 nucleotides) under Homo sapiens (human). RNAcentral's name for it is "HSALNT0129763". The record is from RNAcentral. Lineage: Eukaryota; Metazoa; Chordata; Mammalia; Primates; Hominidae.
AUCAUUUUUAGGCAUCUCUUACAGGUUUUGCCUUUGAAUAAACGCAAUAAAAAUAAAGUAGUAGGUCCUGGGGUUAAUCUAAACUACAUUCAACUCCCCCAGGCCCUAUCAUGAUACCUUGAGUACCUUUUUGACUUUUUUAAGCCUCAGCAAUCUCAUCUGUAAGUCUGGAGAUGGUAACUUCUAGCUUAUAGAUUUAUUGUUGUGAAGGACGAAGAGAUGAUGUGGAUAACUCCUCAGUGCUGGGGUUAUCUAGUCUGACUUUGGUAAAUGUAUUAUUAUCGCUUCCCAAGGGCACACAGCUUCUAAGUGGCAGAUUCAGGGCUCAAACCGAAGUCUGUUUUCAAACCCUAGCUCCUGGCCGCCCGCGCCGCACCGCCUCACUAGCGCCCUCUUGCGCUAGUUCUAUGCUCCAAGCACACUUCGGAUUCUUUGACUUCCCCUGUAAGAACACAGCGUGCUGAUCAACAAACCAGAGCAUCUGCUUCUAUUUAUAACUCUAAGUAGAAAAUUGACAUUCAGCUUUUAUAAAUACUUUUAAAAAACAGGAACAGGCUGCAAGUCUUUUGAUUUGGAAACUCUUGAGUAGCAAGGAGAAGGCUCAGAAGGCCACAAGGAAUCCAUACUGCUUACAGAGGGAGGGAGGGCAGGCUUUGGCCCCAGCAACUCAUCAAGAUGACUGCCGUGUAAAGGGGCUUGGCUGUUGAUGCUCCCAGCCAAGGAAGGAAGGUAGCCAACAGCAUCCAGAGACAGGUGUGAACAGCAUUUGAGACUUGAAGAAUCAGUCUCCCAAAGGAGCAUCAGAGCAGAUUUUGAUGCUGGCACCAGCCUUUGACUUCUGCUUGGCUGGCCCCAUCUCUUAGAUCCCUGCUUGACUGACAGCCCAAUUCUGUCGAGCCCUUCUCUAUAACGGUCAUUACAAACAACCCUGA